AGAUUGAACGCUGGCGGCAGGCCUAACACAUGCAAGUCGAGCGGUAGAGAGGUGCUUGCACCUCUUGAGAGCGGCGGACGGGUGAGUAAUGCCUAGGAAUCUGCCUAGUGGUGGGGGAUAACGUUCGGAAACGGACGCUAAUACCGCAUACGUCCUACGGGAGAAAGCGGGGGACCUUCGGGCCUCGCGCCAUUAGAUGAGCCUAGGUCGGAUUAGCUAGUUGGUGAGGUAAUGGCUCACCAAGGCGACGAUCCGUAACUGGUCUGAGAGGAUGAUCAGUCACACUGGAACUGAGACACGGUCCAGACUCCUACGGGAGGCAGCAGUGGGAAUAUUGGACAAUGGGCGAAAGCCUGAUCCAGCCAUGCCGCGUGUGGUGAAGAAGGUCGUUACGGAUUGUAAAGUCAACGUUUAAGUUGGGAAGGAAGGUUUGUAAACGUUAAAGUUACGUUAGACCGAACGUUUUGAACGUUACCGAAC
RNAcentral lists this ribosomal RNA (480 nucleotides) under uncultured soil bacterium. RNAcentral's name for it is "bacterial SSU rRNA". It matches the Rfam family "Bacterial small subunit ribosomal RNA", at positions 26 to 501 of the family's 1533-position model. The record is from RNAcentral.